Molecule: ribosomal RNA, 403 nt
Filed under: uncultured bacterium
Lineage: Bacteria
Description: partial 16S ribosomal RNA
Rfam family: Bacterial small subunit ribosomal RNA
Source: RNAcentral
AUUGAACGCUGGCGGCAGGCCUAACACAUGCAAGUCGAGCGAGCGGCGGACGGGUGAGUAAUGUAUGGGGACUGCCCGAUAGAGGGGGAUAACUACUGGAAACGGUGGCUAAUACCGCAUACAAUCGGCUACCCCAUAUGGGAUUAGCUAGUAGGUGGGGUAAAGGCUCACCUAGGCGACGAUCCCUAGCUGGUCUGAGCGGAUGAUCAGCCACACGGGGACUGAGACACGGCCCAGACUCCUACGGAGGCAGCAGUGGUGAAGAUUGCACAAUGGGCGCAAGCCUGAUGCAGCCAUGCCGCGUGUAUGAAGAAGGCCUUAGGGUUGUAAAGUACUUUCAGCGGGGAGGCGUUACCCGCAGAAGAAGCACCGGCUAACUCCGUGCCAGCAGCCGCGGUAAUUC